GAUCAUGGCUCAGGAUGAACGCUAGCGGCAGGCCUAACACAUGCAAGUCGAGGGGCAGCACGAUAAAGCUUGCUUUAUUGGUGGCGACCGGCGCACGGGUGCGUAACGCGUAUGCAACCUACCCUGUACUGGGGGAUAACCCGGAGAAAUUCGGACUAACACCCCAUAGUAAUAUACUUUCGCAUGUUAGUAUAUUUAAAGGUUACGGUACAGGAUGGGCAUGCGUCCUAUUAGCUAGAUGGUGAGGUAACGGCUCACCAUGGCGAUGAUAGGUAGGGGGCCUGAGAGGGUGGUCCCCCACACUGGUACUGAGACACGGACCAGACUCCUACGGGAGGCAGCAGUGAGGAAUAUUGGUCAAUGGGCGCAAGCCUGAACCAGCCAUGCCGCGUGCAGGAAGAAUGCCCUAUGGGUUGUAAACUGCUUUAUUUGGGAAUAAACCUCUUUACGUGUAGAGAGCUGAAGGUACCAAAUGAAUAAGCACCGGCUAACUCCGUG
RNAcentral lists this ribosomal RNA (498 nucleotides) under uncultured bacterium. Its description in RNAcentral is "bacterial SSU rRNA". It matches the Rfam family "Bacterial small subunit ribosomal RNA", at positions 15 to 507 of the family's 1533-position model. The record is from RNAcentral.